GUGAUGCAUACGUCGUCCUGCCUUCAUUUUUUUUUUUUCCCUCGCUUUCUUUUGCUGCGUGGCGCACUUCACUUACGGUGUCACGUGCGAGCGCUUACGUUUGUCUCGUUUCGCGCAGUGCAUGAUUUUGCAUGCUGUGCACAAGAUCACCUGAUUAGCGGUAUAAGUCAGUGCUGCACAAACACUGAGGCAGACGCAAGCGGAUCACAGAGCAUGACCGCAUGCUGGAACACCAUAGAAAAUUGGUGCUUUGACAGUAUCUACCUAUCUCUCUCUCUAGCCACCUACGUCUUGGCGCUCUCAUGGUCGUUUCGUUAACUUGGUACAUACCAAAAUUGGCAUAAUAUGACAUGAGUGUGUGACGAACAUAAAUGAUUGGCCAUGACGUCUGUGUCGUAUAGGUCAUGAAACAGCCACCUAUGUCUUGGUGCUCUCAUGGUCGUUUCAUUAACUUGGUAUGCUCCCCGCACACUGCUUUGCAUAAAAUCGAUUCCCACAGGGCUUGCUACCUGCCGGCUUUUUAUUUCUCUAAACUUUACUUCAUCUAUUGAAGCAACAGAUUACACAAAUAACAGAUGUUGCCGUGAAUAAUUCUCGAAAUCACGUGCCAUUAUGAGCAAUGUUGCAGCACUGCCAUGUACGUAGGCGCACUUGUGCCAUAUGCGUCAAUUCUCCGGCUGGGAGCGCGGUGCUCGCAAGAAGAAGGCCAAACGGCUUUCGGUUUGAAAUUUCAGUUCAUUGCACGGCACAUAGCAAUGUAAUACAUUGCAGACAAUCAUUAGUGCGCAUUGUAUUCUCGGUGCUUGUCAGCUCAAAAUGGUGAAGCCUGGUGAGGGGACCUUUAACAACCUUAAAUGUUUAAGGGUCAUGGCAUUGUAUAUCAUUAUGUAUGUUUUAUUUCAUUCAACUUAUUGCUGUUGCAAAUGUGCUUUGUGGCAGCUGAUGUGCAAGAAUUUCAAACUCAUGGCAUUAUAUGAAUAAAACUGAGCAUUCAUGUA
This 998-nucleotide long non-coding RNA is filed under the name Dermacentor andersoni. Its description in RNAcentral is "uncharacterized LOC126545435". Lineage: Eukaryota; Metazoa; Arthropoda; Arachnida; Ixodida; Ixodidae. The record is from RNAcentral.